RNAcentral lists this small RNA (178 nucleotides) under uncultured Prevotella sp. RNAcentral describes it as "Bacteroidales-1 6S-Bacteroidales RNA suggested". It matches the Rfam family "Bacteroidales-1 6S-Bacteroidales RNA suggested". The record is from RNAcentral. Lineage: Bacteria; Pseudomonadati; Bacteroidota; Bacteroidia; Bacteroidales; Prevotellaceae.
CCGUAUCUGAAAGAUCGGGAUACUCAUCAAAUAAAUUCAGAAAACACGGAAAGCCUUCACUUGUCAAUGGCGGGCCACAAUCGAAAGACAGCCGCAAGGCCGGUGGAUUACAAAGACAGUGAGACUACCAAACCUUAUUCGUUAAGGAGUUUUCAUCAUCUUCAGGUACGGUCUUUUU